CCCAUUUUUUUAUCAUGUGUGCAUAAAA
This 28-nucleotide non-coding RNA is filed under the name Mus musculus (house mouse). The record is from RNAcentral. RNAcentral also lists the same sequence under 1 other name. Lineage: Eukaryota; Metazoa; Chordata; Mammalia; Rodentia; Muridae.